GUUGGAGGGCCCGGUUCCCCCGCCGCCUGCCGUGUAUCCAGCUCCUCCUUGCGCCUUCUCAAAAAAAAAAAAAAGCUCCUCCUUGCGCCGUCGCCAUCGCCGUCGAGGUCCUCAUACGAGGAUCAAGCGGUGCUUGAGCUCCCAUCCCGAAUCGACGCAACAGCUCCUUGUCGAGCUGCGAUCCGCAAUCGAGCGGCUCCUCUCGGAAUCGCAGUCCCCGAUCAAAGCGGCCACCCUCUUUAGUCGCAAUCCGCAAUCGAAGCACUACAAUCAGAAACAGGUCCUCUCUCGAUUUCAUUCUCCUAGUUGCCACCGGAGGCGGGGUCCAAGCCGCCGUAUAUCUGCCCGGGCGGGCACCGCGGGAAGCCACUUGUUUUUAGUGGAGAUCAGCAACUCCCGGCGGACAUUUGGCGACCCCGGCGACCAUCCGUCUCGGCCCUCGGCAAGUCCUCAUCUUCAUGGCGGAGGGCAAUGAAGAUGAUAGGCUCAGCAAGUUGCCUGAUGACCUUUUGCUCAACAUUGUCGAGCGACUUGAUAUUGCUGACGCGUCACGAACCACCAUCCUCGCCAGACGUUGGAAGGACGUCCCAGCUAGACUCUCAAAAGUCAUUAUAAGGGCGGGUUCUUUUGAGUCCAAGCAUACAAUGAGCAAGUUAACCAAAGAUGAUAUAGUUCGGUCCAACACCACCAUUCUGGAUGUAACCUGGAGCAUACUGGAAAGGAAGGCUGGAAGUCUAUACACCAUUCAGCUGUUGUGCAUGCAAUUCUACUUGGGAGAUGAGUCCAUUUUCAUUGGCCAGACUGUUGCCAACAGCAUAGCAACACAAAAGGUUGCUUCAGUUGACUUCACAAUCUUGACGAAGGUGCGUAGAAAUUGUACCAAGGAUGACCUUGUCACAAAUGGGAGGCAGUUCAUGUCAUUCUUUGAUUCAUGUCCAAACACAUUUGGUUGUCUUGCACGCCUCACUCUAGAGAAUUUGAGGUUAGGAGAAUCAGCGUUCCCCAAAAUUUUUAGUAUAUGCAAGCAACUGGAGUUCCUCUUCCUCCACAAUUGUGACAUGGGUAUUCAGUCUUUGCUGGAAGUGGAACACCCGCAACUCAGUGAACUAGUGAUUGCCAGCGGCUGCUUUAAGAGGGUUCAUCUGGGCACCAAAGCUCACAAUAGUGAAAUUUAGUAUUUUUAGAUCAAAAGAUGAUCCCUUCUGUCUUGGCUAUGUUCCACUGCUCCAGACUGUGAGCAUCAUUAAUACUGCUCUCUCUUGGCAGAAGAUGCUCAAGUUAAGUGAGUUGCUUGGUAAGACUGCCAUAAGCAACCUGCAUUUGAACUUCAGAAGCGAAAAGAUUUGGGUCAAACCGGAAGGUCGAAGGCAAUUGUUACCUGUGUUCCACAAACUUAGGAUUGUGAAUUUGCUUAACAUUCCUGAAGAAUGCGAUCUGACUUGGACAAUGUUCCUACUCGAAGGUGCACCCAACCUUAAGGAACUACGCAUCGUGGUGAACUCUUGCACCAAUUCUCUUCUUCAUUGUCUCAUUUUCGAAGUUCAAACUUUUUUUAACAGUUAGGAAUUAAUAUUUUCUUGACCUGAUUGAGUGCAAGUGCGGGAUCAUUUAUGUUUAGUGGUAACAGGGGAGCAGAGGAAGAAUGGCGCAUUUAGCGAGGAGAAGGACAAGGGACUGGAGUGGGAACCAUCUGCAUCUGAUUUCAAGCACCACAACCUUGCUGGGCUCAGUAUCUAUGGGAGGUUUCAAGCAGAAGACAAACUCGUGAGCUAUGCCAGGAGCAUCAUGCAAGCAGCAGUGAAUCUGGAGGACAUAAAGCUAUACAAGAGUCCAGUGUGUCAAAGGUGCAAGCACAUGCGCCAGGAGUGGACAUUGGAGGAGAAGUCAUCGCUUGGCUACAAAAUCAAAGAGGGGAUGCCCUCGCUCGUCCAGAUCCACUUCCCGAGUUUAGGGGAAGUCUUUUUUUAGAAGAAAUAAUACUCUUGGUCUGCAAGCUGCAGCUGACAGGAACUGUUGUAUUAUGCAUGGAUUAAUUGUCACCGUUGAACCUUUUCAAUCAGAUGGUACCGUCAAGGAGGAUAAUGUACUCUUAUCCUUAUUGUUAAGUAUAUUUUGUCCAGUGGAAAUUG
This 2129-nucleotide ribosomal RNA is filed under the name Triticum aestivum (bread wheat). Its description in RNAcentral is "partial small subunit ribosomal RNA". Lineage: Eukaryota; Viridiplantae; Streptophyta; Magnoliopsida; Poales; Poaceae. The record is from RNAcentral.